AAUUCGCCCUUGAGCACGUAGGUGGGUUUGUAAGUCAGGUGUGAAAGCCUUCUGUUCAACGGGAGAAUUGCAUCUGAAACUACGAAUCUUGAGUGUAGGAGGGGAGAAUGGAACUUCUGGUGGAGCGGUGAAAUGCGUAGAUAUCAGAAGGAACGCCGGCGGCGAAAGCGAUUCUCUGGCCUAUUACUGACACUCAGUGUGCGAAAGCUAGGGGAGCAAACGGGAUUAGAUACCCCGGUAGUCCUAGCCGUAAACGGUGGGCACUAAGUAGUGGGAAUUACCGAUGUUCUCUCUGCCGUAGCUAACGCAUUAAGUGCCCCGCCUGGAGAGUACGGCCGCAAGGCUAAAACUCAAAAGAAUUGACGGGGGCUCGCACAAGCGGUGGAGCAUGUGGCUUAAUUCGAUGCAACGCGAAAAACCCUACCGGGGCUUGACAUGUUAGAAGUAGGAACCUGAAAGGGUAACGAACGGUAUCCAGUCCGUAGCUAUCACAGGUGUUGCAUGGCUGUCGUCAGCUCGUGUCGUGAGACGUUGGGUUAAGUCCCCUAACGAGCGAAACCCUUGUUUUUAGUUACCAGCGGGUUGUGCCGGGUACUCUAGAAAGACUGCCGUCGUCAAGACGGAGGAAGGUGGGGAUGACGUCAAGUCAUCAUGGCCCUUAUGCACCGGGCUGCACACGCGCUACAAUGGUCGGUACAAACGGAAGCGAAGCCGAGAGGUGAAGCGAAUCCAAGGGCGAAUU
Molecule: ribosomal RNA, 742 nt
Filed under: uncultured Planctomycetota bacterium
Lineage: Bacteria; Pseudomonadati; Planctomycetota
Description: bacterial SSU rRNA
Rfam family: Bacterial small subunit ribosomal RNA
Source: RNAcentral